This 468-nucleotide ribosomal RNA is filed under the name uncultured Desulfovibrio sp. RNAcentral's name for it is "bacterial SSU rRNA". It matches the Rfam family "Bacterial small subunit ribosomal RNA", at positions 916 to 1381 of the family's 1533-position model. Lineage: Bacteria; Pseudomonadati; Thermodesulfobacteriota; Desulfovibrionia; Desulfovibrionales; Desulfovibrionaceae. The record is from RNAcentral.
GACGGGACCCGCACAAGCAGCGGAGCGUGUGGUUUAAUUCGUUGCUACACGAAGAACCUUACCUGGGUUUGACAUAUAGGUUGUAGGGAACUGAAAAGGGACCGACCCUUCGGGAGCCUAUACAGGUGUUGCAUGGCUGUCGUCAGCUCGUGUCGUGAGAUGUUCGGUUAAGUCCGCUAACGAGCGCAACCCUCGCCUUUAGUUGCCAGCAUUAAGUUGGGCACUCUAGAGGGACUGCCGGUGUCAAACCGGAGGAAGGUGGGGAUGACGUCAAGUCCUCAUGGCCUUUAUGACCAGGGCUACACACGUACUACAAUGGCCGGCACAAAGGGCAGCAAGCCUGCGAAGGUAAGCUAAUCCCGAAAAACCGGUCUCAGUCCGGAUCGCAGUCUGCAACUCGACUGCGUGAAGUUGGAAUCGCUAGUAAUCGUGGAUCAGCAUGCCACGGUGAAUACGUUCCCGGGCCUU